This 305-nucleotide ribosomal RNA is filed under the name uncultured bacterium. RNAcentral describes it as "bacterial SSU rRNA". It matches the Rfam family "Bacterial small subunit ribosomal RNA", at positions 334 to 631 of the family's 1533-position model. The record is from RNAcentral.
UUCUCCUACGGGACGCAGCAGUAGGGAAUUUUCGUCAAUGGGCGCAAGCCUGAACGAGCGAUGCCGCGUGAGUGAAGAAGGCCUUCGGGUCGUAAAGCUCUGUUGCGGGGGAAAAAAGGCAGCAUCAGGAAAUGGGUGCUGACUGAUGGUGCCCCGCCAGAAAGUCACGGCUAACUACGUGCCAGCAGCCGCGGUAAUACGUAGGUGGCAAGCGUUAUCCGGAUUUAUUGGGUGUAAAGGGCGUGUAGGCGGGAAAGCAAGUCAGAUGUGAAAACUCAGGGCUCAACCCUGAGCCUGCAUUUGAA